RNAcentral lists this ribosomal RNA (460 nucleotides) under uncultured bacterium. RNAcentral's name for it is "partial 16S ribosomal RNA". The record is from RNAcentral.
CCUACUAGGGUAUCUAAUCCUGUUCGAUCCCCACGCUUUCGUGCCUCAGCGUCAGUCUGGCGCCGGUACGCUGCCUUCGCAAUCGGAGUUCUGCGCGAUAUCUAUGCAUUUCACCGCUACACCGCGCAUUCCGCGUACUUCUCGCCAACUCAAGUCUGCCAGUUUCAACGGCUCGACGGGGUUGAGCCCCGCAAUUUUACCGCUGACUUAACGGACCGCCUACGCACCCUUUAAACCCAAUAAAUCCGGAUAACGCGCGCAUCCUCCGUAUUACCGCGGCUGCUGGCACGGAGUUGGCCGAUGCUUUUUCUUCAGGUACUCUCGCUAAGACCACACGUGGACUCAAGUGCUCCCUGACAAAAGAAGUUUACAACCCGUAGGGCCGUCAUCCUGCACGCGACUUGGCUGGUUCAGGCUCUCGCCCAUUGACCAAUAUUCCUCACUGCUGCCACCCGUAGUC